This is a long non-coding RNA of Acanthochromis polyacanthus (spiny chromis), 7345 nucleotides long. RefSeq lists it as uncharacterized. The record is from RefSeq and is a predicted model, not a curated record. The transcript has 4 exons. Lineage: Eukaryota; Metazoa; Chordata; Actinopteri; Pomacentridae.
UCAUUAGCUAACAAUGCUAAAGCUAAAGACACUCUGCCUAAGCAUGAGAAUCUAAAGUUCAAUCUUGGACUUCAUCAGUGGUUCGAGAUUCGCAUAACUACUGUAUAGAAUGGUCUGACUGCACCUCAUCAUUGUUCUGCUUCUUGUUAUGUUUAUGCUGAUUUUAUUCCUUGUUUUUUUUUUAAAAUAAAGAUAACACUGACUUUUUGCACAUCUUGGCCUCCAUACCAGUUGUUUUUCAGGGCUGGAAAUUGCUCAGUUGGGAGAGCAUUAGACUGAAGCUCUAAAGGUCCCUGGUUCAAUCUUGGGUUUUGGCAGGAAGGAAGAGUUUUAGGAACAGGACGUCUUCAGUAAACAAUGCUAGAACUAAAUGUUCAUCUAAAAAUUUGUGGGUUUUCAACAGCUGUUCUGUCUGUGCAGUGCUAGAGAAUGGUCUGACUUUUCUGUAUUUCUUUAAACCAAUCACAGUCAUCUUAGUUGGAGUUUAGCCCAGGAUGUAUUGAUGGUGUCCCUGAAAUAUAGUGACAUAGAAUUGUUUUGGUGGGAUGUUUUCCUGGUGGCUAGCAUCUCUUAGCUCUGUUGGCAUUUGAUCCGUCUUAAUGGAAUUUGAAAUCAAAGUUUUUUAAAUGUUGCUCUAUUUUUUGCCCCUCUUGGCCUCUGUAGUCAUGAUUGUUCAGGCUGAAAUAGCUCAGUUGGGAGAGCGUUAGACUGAAGAUCUAAAGGUCCCUGGUUCGAUCCCGGGUUUCAGCAGAGUUUUAGGAACACAAGGUUGUCACACUACACCUGAAAACUGUUGUCUCAUUAGCUAACAAUGCUAAAGCUAACGACACUCUGCCUGAGCAUGAGAAUCUAAAGUUCAAUCUUGGACUUCAUCAGUGGUUCGAGAUUCGCAUAACUACUGUAUAGAAUGGUCUGACUGCACCUCAUCUUUGUUAUGCUGAUUUUAUUCCUUGUUUUUUUUUUAAAAUAAAGAUAACACUGACUUUUUGCACAUCUUGGCCUCCAUACCAGUUGUUUUUCAGGGCUGGAAUUGCUCAGUUGGGAGAGCAUUAGACUGAAGGUCUAAAGGUCUCUUAUUCAAUCUUGGGUUUUGGCAGGAAGGAAGAGUUUUAGGAACAGGACGUCUUCAGUAAACAAUGCUAGAACUAAAUGUUCAUCUAAAAAUUUGUGGGUUUUCAACAGCUGUUCUGUCUGUGCAAUGCUAGAGAAUGGUCUGACUUUUCUGUAUUUCUUUAAACCAAUCACAGUCAUCUUAGUUGGAGUUUAGCCCAGGAUGUAUUGAUGGUGUCCCUGAAAUAUAGUGACAUAGAAUUGUUUUGGUGGGAUGUUUUCCUGGUGGCUAGCAUCUCUUAGCUCUGUUGGCAUUUGGUCCGUCUUAAUGGAAUUUGAAAUCAAAGUUUUUUAAAUGUUGCUCUAUUUUUUGCCCCUCUUGGCCUCCGUAAUCAUGAUUCUUCAGGCUGAAAUAGCUCAGCUGGGAGAGCGUUAGACUGAAGAUCUAAAGGUCCCUGGUUCGAUCCCGGGUUUCAGCAGAGUUUUAGGAACACAAGGUUGUCACAGUACACCUGAAAACUGUUGUCUCAUUAGCUAACAAUGCUAAAGCUAACGACACUCUGCCUGAGCAUGAGAAUCUAAAGUUCAAUCUUGGACUUCAUCAGUGGUUCGAGAUUCGCAUAACUACUGUAUAGAAUGGUCUGACUGCACCUCAUCUUUGUUAUGCUUAUGCUGAUUUUAUUCCUUGUUUUUUUUUUAAAAUAAAGAUAACACUGACUUUUUGCACAUCUUGGCCUCCAUACCAGUUGUUUUUCAGGGCUGGAAUUGCUCAGUUGGGAGAGCAUUAGACUGAAGGUCUAAAGGUCUCUUAUUCAAUCUUGGGUUUUGGCAGGAAGGAAGAGUUUUAGGAACAGGACGUCUUCAGUAAACAAUGCUAGAACUAAAUGUUCAUCUAAAAAUUUGUGGGUUUUCAACAGCUGUUCUGUCUGUGCAAUGCUAGAGAAUGGUCUGACUUUUCUGUAUUUCUUUAAACCAAUCACAGUCAUCUUAGUUGGAGUUUAGCCCAGGAUGUAUUGAUGGUGUCCCUGAAAUAUAGUGACAUAGAAUUGUUUUGGUGGGAUGUUUUCCUGGUGGCUAGCAUCUCUUAGCUCUGUUGGCAUUUGGUCCGUCUUAAUGGAAUUUGAAAUCAAAGUUUUUUAAAUGUUGCUCUAUUUUUUGCCCCUCUUGGCCUCCGUAAUCAUGAUUCUUCAGGCUGAAAUAGCUCAGCUGGGAGAGCGUUAGACUGAAGAUCUAAAGGUCCCUGGUUCGAUCCCGGGUUUCAGCAGAGUUUUAGGAACACAAGGUUGUCACAGUACACCUGAAAACUGUUGUCUCAUUAGCUAACAAUGCUAAAGCUAACGACACUCUGCCUGAGCAUGAGAAUCUAAAGUUCAAUCUUGGACUUCAUCAGUGGUUCGAGAUUCGCAUAACUACUGUAUAGAAUGGUCUGACUGCACCUCAUCUUUGUUAUGCUUAUGCUGAUUUUAUUCCUUGUUUUUUUUUUAAAAUAAAGAUAACACUGACUUUUUGCACAUCUUGGCCUCCAUACCAGUUGUUUUUCAGGGCUGGAAUUGCUCAGUUGGGAGAGCAUUAGACUGAAGCUCUAAAGGUCUCUUAUUCAAUCUUGGGUUUUGGCAGGAAGGAAGAGUUUUAGGAACAGGACGUCUUCAGUAAACAAUGCUAGAACUAAAUGUUCAUCUAAAAAUUUGUGGGUUUUCAACAGCUGUUCUGUCUGUGCAAUGCUAGAGAAUGGUCUGACUUUUCUGUAUUUCUUUAAACCAAUCACAGUCAUCUUAGUUGGAGUUUAGCCCAGGAUGUAUUGAUGGUGUCCCUGAAAUAUAGUGACAUAGAAUUGUUUUGGUGGGAUGUUUUCCUGGUGGCUAGCAUCUCUUAGCUCUGUUGGCAUUUGGUCCGUCUUAAUGGAAUUUGAAAUCAAAGUUUUUUAAAUGUUGCUCUAUUUUUUGCCCCUCUUGGCCUCCGUAAUCAUGAUUCUUCAGGCUGAAAUAGCUCAGCUGGGAGAGCGUUAGACUGAAGAUCUAAAGGUCCCUGGUUCGAUCCCGGGUUUCAGCAGAGUUUUAGGAACACAAGGUUGUCACAGUACACCUGAAAACUGUUGUCUCAUUAGCUAACAAUGCUAAAGCUAACGACACUCUCCCUGAGCAUGAGAAUCUAAAGUUCAAUCUUGGACUUCAUCAGUGGUUCGAGAUUCGCAUAACUACUGUAUAGAAUGGUCUGACUGCACCUCAUCUUUGUUAUGCUGAUUUUAUUCCUUGUUUUUUUUUUUAAAAUAAAGAUAACACUGACUUUUUGCACAUCUUGGCCUCCAUACCAGUUGUUUUUCAGGGCUGGAAUUGCUCAGUUGGGAGAGCAUUAGACUGAAGCUCUAAAGGUCCCUGGUUCAAUCUUGGGUUUUGGCAGGAAGGAAGAGUUUUAGGAACAGGACGUCUUCAGUAAACAAUGCUAGAACUAAAUGUUCAUCUAAAAAUUUGUGGGUUUUCAACAGCUGUUCUGUCUGUGCAGUGCUAGAGAAUGGUCUGACUUUUCUGUAUUUCUUUAAACCAAUCACAGUCAUCUUAGUUGGAGUUUAGCCCAGGAUGUAUUGAUGGUGUCCCUGAAAUAUAGUGACAUAGAAUUGUUUUGGUGGGAUGUUUUCCUGGUGGCUAGCAUCUCUUAGCUCUGUUGGCAUUUGAUCCGUCUUAAUGGAAUUUGAAAUCAAAGUUUUUUAAAUGUUGCUCUAUUUUUUGCCCCUCUUGGCCUCUGUAGUCAUGAUUGUUCAGGCUGAAAUAGCUCAGUUGGGAGAGCGUUAGACUGAAGAUCUAAAGGUCCCUGGUUCGAUCCCGGGUUUCAGCAGAGUUUUAGGAACACAAGGUUGUCACACUACACCUGAAAACUGUUGUCUCAUUAGCUAACAAUGCUAAAGCUAACGACACUCUGCCUGAGCAUGAGAAUCUAAAGUUCAAUCUUGGACUUCAUCAGUGGUUCGAGAUUCGCAUAACUACUGUAUAGAAUGGUCUGACUGCACCUCAUCUUUGUUAUGCUUAUGCUGAUUUUAUUCCUUGUUUUUUUUUUAAAAUAAAGAUAACACUGACUUUUUGCACAUCUUGGCCUCCAUACCAGUUGUUUUUCAGGGCUGGAAUUGCUCAGUUGGGAGAGCAUUAGACUGAAGGUCUAAAGGUCUCUUAUUCAAUCUUGGGUUUUGGCAGGAAGGAAGAGUUUUAGGAACAGGACGUCUUCAGUAAACAAUGCUAGAACUAAAUGUUCAUCUAAAAAUUUGUGGGUUUUCAACAGCUGUUCUGUCUGUGCAAUGCUAGAGAAUGGUCUGACUUUUCUGUAUUUCUUUAAACCAAUCACAGUCAUCUUAGUUGGAGUUUAGCCCAGGAUGUAUUGAUGGUGUCCCUGAAAUAUAGUGACAUAGAAUUGUUUUGGUGGGAUGUUUUCCUGGUGGCUAGCAUCUCUUAGCUCUGUUGGCAUUUGGUCCGUCUUAAUGGAAUUUGAAAUCAAAGUUUUUUAAAUGUUGCUCUAUUUUUUGCCCCUCUUGGCCUCCGUAAUCAUGAUUCUUCAGGCUGAAAUAGCUCAGCUGGGAGAGCGUUAGACUGAAGAUCUAAAGGUCCCUGGUUCGAUCCCGGGUUUCAGCAGAGUUUUAGGAACACAAGGUUGUCACAGUACACCUGAAAACUGUUGUCUCAUUAGCUAACAAUGCUAAAGCUAACGACACUCUCCCUGAGCAUGAGAAUCUAAAGUUCAAUCUUGGACUUCAUCAGUGGUUCGAGAUUCGCAUAACUACUGUAUAGAAUGGUCUGACUGCACCUCAUCUUUGUUAUGCUUAUGCUGAUUUUAUUCCUUGUUUUUUUUUUUAAAUAAAGAUAACACUGACUUUUUGCACAUCUUGGCCUCCAUACCAGUUGUUUUUCAGGGCUGAAAUUGCUCAGUUGGGAGAGCAUUAGACUGAAGCUCUAAAGGUCCCUGGUUCAAUCUUGGGUUUUGGCAGGAAGGAAGAGUUUUAGGAACAGGACGUCUUCAGUAAACAAUGCUAGAACUAAAUGUUCAUCUAAAAAUUUGUGGGUUUUCAACAGCUGUUCUGUCUGUGCAAUGCUAGAGAAUGGUCUGACUUUUCUGUAUUUCUUUAAACCAAUCACAGUCAUCUUAGUUGGAGUUUAGCCCAGGAUGUAUUGAUGGUGUCCCUGAAAUAUAGUGACAUAGAAUUGUUUUGGUGGGAUGUUUUCCUGGUGGCUAGCAUCUCUUAGCUCUGUUGGCAUUUGAUCCGUCUUAAUGGAAUUUGAAAUCAAAGUUUUUUAAAUGUUGCUCUAUUUUUUGCCCCUCUUGGCCUCUGUAGUCAUGAUUGUUCAGGCUGAAAUAGCUCAGUUGGGAGAGCGUUAGACUGAAGAUCUAAAGGUCCCUGGUUCGAUCCCGGGUUUCAGCAGAGUUUUAGGAACACAAGGUUGUCACAGUACAUCUGAAAACUGUUGUCUCAUUAGCUAACAAUGCUAAAGCUAGCAACACUCUGCCUGAGCAUGAGAAUCUAAAGUUCAAUCUUGGACUUCAUCAGUGGUUUGAGAUUCGCAUAACUACUGUAUAGAAUGGUCUGACUGCACCUCAUCUUUGUUAUGCUGAUUUUAUUCCUUGUUUUUUUUUUAAAUAAAGAUAACACUGACUUUUUGCACAUCUUGGCCUCCAUACCAGUUGUUUUUCAGGGCUGAAAUUGCUCAGUUGGGAGAGCAUUAGACUGAAGCUCUAAAGGUCCCUGGUUCAAUCUUGGGUUUUGGCAGGAAGGAAGAGUUUUAGGAACAGGACGUCUUCAGUAAACAAUGCUAGAACUAAAUGUUCAUCUAAAAAUUUGUGGGUUUUCAACAGCUGUUCUGUCUGUGCAAUGCUAGAGAAUGGUCUGACUUUUCUGUAUUUCUUUAAACCAAUCACAGUCAUCUUAGUUGGAGUUCAGCCCAGGAUGUAUUGAUGGUGUCCCUGAAAUAUAGUGACAUAGAAUUGUUUUGGUGGGAUGUUUUCCUGGAGGCUAGCAUCUCUUAGCUCUGUUGGCAUUUGGUCCGUCUUAAUGGAAUUUGAAAUCAAAGUUUUUUAAAUGUUGCACUAUGUUUUGCCCCUCUUGGCCUCCGUAAUCAUGAUUCUUCAGGCUGAAAUAGCUCAGUUGGGAGAGCGUUAGACUGAAGAUCUAAAGGUCCCUGGUUCGAUCCCGGGUUUCAGCAGAGUUUUAGGAACACAAGGUUGUCACAGUACAACUGAAAACUGUUGUCUCAUUAGCUAACAAUGCUAAAGCUAACGACACUCUGCCUGAGCAUGAGAAUCUAAAGUUCAAUCUUGGACUUCAUCAGUGGUUCGAGAUUCGCAUAACUACUGUAUAGAAUGGUCUGACUGCACCUCAUCAUUGUUCUGCUUCUUUGUUAUGUUUAUGCUGAUUUUAUUACUUGUUUUUUUAUAUAAAGAUGACAUUGACUUUCUGCACGUCUUGGCCUCCGUACAGGUUGUUUUUCAGGGCUGAAAUUGCUCAGUUGGGAGAGCAUCAGACUGAAGCUCUAAAGGUCCCUUAUUCAGUCUUGGGUUUUGGCAGGAAGGAAGAGUUUUAGGAACAGGACGUCUUCAGUAAACAAUGCUAGAACUAAAUGUUCAUCUAAAAAUUUGUGGGUUUUCAACAGCUGUUCUGUCUGUGCAAUGCUAGAGAAUGGUCUGACUUUUCUGUAUUUCUUUAAACCAAUCACAGUCAUCUUAGUUGGAGUUCAGCCCAGGAUGUAUUGAUGGUGUCCCUGAAAUAUACUGACAUAGAAUUGUUUUGGUGGGAUGUUUUCCUGGUGGCUAGCAUCUCUUAGCUCUGUUGGCAUUUGGUCCGUCUUAAUGGAAUUUGAAAUCAAAGUUUUUUAAAUGUUGCUCUAUUUUUUGCCCCUCUUGGCCUCCGUAAUCAUGAUUCUUCAGGCUGAAAUAGCUCAGUUGGGAGAGCGUUAGACUGAAGAUCUAAAGGUCCCGGGUUUCAGCAGAGUUUUAGGAACACAAGGUUGUCACAGUACACCUGAAAACUGUUGUCUCAUUAGCUAACAAUGCUAAAGCUAACGACACUCUGCCUGAGCAUGAGAAUCUAAAGUUCAAUCUUGGACUUCAUCAGUGGUUCUAGAUUCGCAUAACUACUGUAUAGAAUGGUCUGACUGCACCUCAUCAUUGUUCUGCUUCUUUGUUAUGUUUAUGCUGAUUUUAUUACUUGCAUACAAACCAUUCCUGCUAUGUUUGCACUGUGGGUUCAGUUAGUAAAAGUAUGGUAAAUGUCAACAAGUGUGUUUGAAUAUUAGUGUCAAGUACAUGACCUGUGUAUUCAUUG